CUUUCAUAUAUUUUUGUAAAGAUUUAUAAUUAAAUACAGUAUUUCAAACCUAAAAAUAUUCAAAUCUAAAAAUAUUUGAGUAAGAUCAAUAUUUGUUUUGUAAGGAUCUAUGCAGAGGUAUUAAAAUCGACUGCUGUAUGAUUUGACUCUAAAAUCAGCCUGCACCAGAAAUUUUGUAUGUUACUUCCACACAAACAUGUCAGAAUAUGGCUAAAACAUGAUAUGCAGUGCAUGAACAAGAGACCCUGAGGUCCAGGAUAAGAGAAAUGAUUCAGAAACUAAUUUAUAACAAUAACAAGCAAAAUUAAUUUAUUUAAUAUAAUAAAAUAACAAAAAUUACCAUAGAAUAAUAAAGUAUACUAUUUGAAAUCAGGUGAAUAAUACCAAAAUUACAUAAAUGAUUAGGAUUAACAAACUAGAACAAGAUAUUGCAUUAGAACUAUUACAACUUUCCCAGGAGAGCUAUUUAUUAUGGGAGUGUUUGGACAUACCUGAGAGGAAGAUAUGUAUGUGCUCUUUCUUCUAUUUACAUUCUCCAUGUAUAAAUUCCUUCUUAAUAUCAAUCUUCUGUAAUAGUCAUCACCUUUAUUCGUCUAUAUCAGACUAACCAUCCGAUGGGAUAGAAUAUGACCUUCUUAACUACUAUAUUUUCAUCCAUCUCCUCCUCUACACAACCUCUCAACAAGGAACUGGCCCUUUUUAUUUGUCUAGAAUAGAGAUGGCCAACCUGCUAGCCAAUCACCACAUGUGGCAGUUUUUACUUUGGCAUAUUUUUAUUUCUUUUGUUGUUAAUGAAAAUUAAUUCUUAUUAUGUUAAAAAUUGAAAAAACUAGGCAUUAUUUCUG
RNAcentral lists this long non-coding RNA (845 nucleotides) under Androctonus crassicauda. Lineage: Eukaryota; Metazoa; Arthropoda; Arachnida; Scorpiones; Buthidae. The record is from RNAcentral.